RNAcentral lists this ribosomal RNA (497 nucleotides) under uncultured bacterium. Its description in RNAcentral is "partial 16S ribosomal RNA". It matches the Rfam family "Bacterial small subunit ribosomal RNA", at positions 28 to 507 of the family's 1533-position model. The record is from RNAcentral.
GAUGAACGCUGGCGGCGUGCCUAAUACAUGCAAGUCGAGCGAACAGACGAUGAGCUUGCUCCUCUGACGUUAGCGGCGGACGGGUGAGUAACACGUGGAUAACCUACCUAUAAGACUGGGAUAACUUCGUGAAACCGGAGCUAAUACCGGAUAAUAUAUUCAACCGCAUGGUUCAAUAGUGAAAGACGGUUUUGCUGUCACUUAUAGAUGGUUCCGCGCCGCAUUAGCUAGUUGGUAAGGUAACGGCUUACCAAGGCAACGAUGCGUAGCCGACCUGAGAGGGUGAUCGGCCACACUGGAACUGAGACACGGUCCAGACUCCUACGGGAGGCAGCAGUAGGGAAUCUUCCGCAAUGGGCGCAAGCCUGACGGAGCCAUGCCGCGUGAGUGAUGAAGGUCUUCGGAUCGUAAAACUCUGUUAUUAGGGAAGAAAAACUGUGUAAGUAACUCUGCACGUCCUGACGGUACCUAAUCAGAAAGCCACGGCUAACUACGUG